ACCCAGAUGAUGAGUCCCGAAUAGGACGAAAUGUGCAUCCUGGAU
Molecule: non-coding RNA, 45 nt
Filed under: Trichobilharzia regenti
Lineage: Eukaryota; Metazoa; Platyhelminthes; Trematoda; Strigeidida; Schistosomatidae
Source: RNAcentral